UACAGAGGUCUCAAGCGUUGUUCGGAUUCAUUGGGCGUAAAGGGUGCGUAGGUGGCGAGGCAAGUCAGAUGUGAAAUCCCGGGGCUCAACCCCGGAACUGCAUUUGAAACUGCCUUGCUCGAGUACUGGAGAGGAGACUGGAAUUUACGGUGUAGCAGUGAAAUGCGUAGAUAUCGUAAGGAAGACCAGUGGCGAAGGCGAGUCUCUGGACAGUUACUGACACUGAGGAGCGAAAGCGUGGGGAGCGAACAGG
Molecule: ribosomal RNA, 253 nt
Filed under: uncultured bacterium
Lineage: Bacteria
Description: partial 16S ribosomal RNA
Rfam family: Bacterial small subunit ribosomal RNA
Source: RNAcentral